AUUGAACGCUGGCGGCAGGCCUAACACAUGCAAGUCGAACGGUAACAGGAAGCAGCUUGCUGCUUUGCUGACGAGUGGCGGACGGGUGAGUAAUGUCUGGGAAACUGCCUGAUGGAGGGGGAUAACUACUGGAAACGGUAGCUAAUACCGCAUAACGUCGCAAGACCAAAGAGGGGGACCUUAGGGCCUCUUGCCAUCGGAUGUGCCCAGAUGGGAUUAGCUAGUAGGUGGGGUAACGGCUCACCUAGGCGACGAUCCCUAGCUGGUCUGAGAGGAUGACCAGCCACACUGGAACUGAGACACGGUCCAGACUCCUACGGGGGGCAGCAGUGGGGAAUAUUGCACAAUGGGCGCAAGCCUGAUGCAGCCAUGCCGCGUGUAUGAAGAAGGCCUUCGGGUUGUAAAGUACUUUCAGCGGGGAGGAAGGGAGUAAAGUUAAUACCUUUGCUCAUUGACGUUACCCGCAGAAGAAGCACCGGCUAACUCCGUG
Molecule: ribosomal RNA, 490 nt
Filed under: uncultured bacterium
Lineage: Bacteria
Description: partial 16S ribosomal RNA
Rfam family: Bacterial small subunit ribosomal RNA
Source: RNAcentral